AUGCGCGGUCUGCCUCCCGCGGCGGGCCGGGUCUCCAGGGAGGACCUGAGUUUUCUUCACCCAUGGUGGAUCCGGGGCAGGCUCAGGACCAAGUCCCUCUCCUUCCACCAAGGAGCGCCCAGAGGCCGGCGGGAGCUCCAGGUUCACCUCCUCCUCCUCCAGGAAAUCUCACUUCCAACUGGAUGUCUGGAUGAACUACUGAAAGCUGCUGAGUGUCCUGCAGCAGCUUGACUACCACACAAAUGAAUCCACUCAAAUGUUGGCAAGUGGAGCAGAGUCCCAGGACAGGUACAGAAACACCCCCAGUUCAAGGAUCUUCACACCUGGAUUUAGGCCUACUCCUGCAACUACCCCAGAACCUGGAAUUUAUAUGUUCAACAUGGAGCCAUCCCAGCCAUGACAACAGAGAAUGUACCACUCUCACGCUGGCGCUGAGAUGGGCAGGUGCUGCAGCAGCCCGGCUGGAAGCGAUGCAGCAUCCAGGACGACGGAGGAAGGGGCGGAGAGGGACCUCUGCUUUCCAGGCUGCCUUUUAUACUGCCUCUGGUCACCUGACAUGGAACGUACCCUAACCUAAUCAGUUACCUGUACCUUAAUUGCAAUUAACUUAAUCCAAUUACAUGACCUGGAAAGGUCUAUCUGCACAGCCCACUCUAAGAUCCUGUCCACUGCUGACAGACAUUCUAAAACCUACUUGUACAGCUGCAAGCUUUGAACAAUAGAUGUUCCCCGUCAGACAUGUAACACUGGUGCCUGUAUCCCUGUCUUCUUUUCCAUCUUUUUUGUUGUUUUGUUUUGUUUCGUUUUAAAAAAUGUGGUAAAAUAGACACCUUUUAAUUGGACCACAUUUUGUCUCUCUCGACGUAGGCCUCAGUGUCAUCAAGGAGACUCUCCUUGACAUGCAGUCACGGCCAUGAUCCAUCUUCAGAGCUUCUCUUUCUUCCCCAAGGCUGGCGCUGAGAUGGGCAGGUGCUGCAGCAGCCCCGCUGGAAGCGAUGCAGCAUCCAGAACGACGGAGGAAGGGGCGGAGAGGGACCUCUGCUUUCCAGGCUGCCUUUUAUACUGCCUCUGGUCACCUGACAUG
This 1084-nucleotide long non-coding RNA is filed under the name Homo sapiens (human). RNAcentral describes it as "non-protein coding FAM66B:2". Lineage: Eukaryota; Metazoa; Chordata; Mammalia; Primates; Hominidae. The record is from RNAcentral.